AAGAAUUAAACGAAGAAGAUAGAAAGAUAGAAAUUGUAAAAGAAACUAUGAAAUGUAUAAGAUGUAAUUGGCUAAUACAUUUGAUAGUGAGCUCUUGAUAGCUAUUUAUACACACUCAGCAGGGAGGUUAUACACAUUCAGUAGGGAGGACUUUUCUCAACUACUUAGAGAUUUCCUCAACUGCCUUGAGGAAAUCUUAUCUACUUAUCAUGCCCCCGCAAGAUUGAGCUUCCAUCAAGGAUGCCGAUCUUGGACCGAUGAGAUGAAAAUGGUUUCCGAGCGAGAGGCUUUGUGAGUGAGUCUGCUAGUUGAUCAGUUGUAUGUACGUGAGAAACACGGAGUUGAUGUCUGACAACUUGAUCUCGCACGAAGGGGAAGUCGAUGGCAAUGUGUUUCAUGUGGGAAUGGAACACUAGAUUGGCACAUAAGUAGGUAGCGCCAAUAUUGUCACAAUAUAUUGUAGGAAUAACCGUGGAGUUGACGUUGAGUUCCUUGAGCAGAUUUGUGACCCAAUUGAGUUCAGCAACGGUGGUGGCGAUGGCACGGUAUUCAGCUUCAGUUGUAGAUCGUGCAACCGUCUUUUGUUAUUUAGAACUCAACUGAUUGGAGUGGCUCCAAGGAAGACAAUGUAUCCUGACAUAGAUGUUCUAUCAUCAAAGUUCCCUGCCCAAUCAGCAUCAGCAAAGGCAUGGAGAUGGAGCGAAGUAUUUUUGCGAAGAAAAAUGCCAUAAUUAAGAGUCCCUUUAAGAUACCGCAAAAUUCGUUUGACCGCAGACCAAUGCAUAGUAGAUGGUCGAUGCAUGAAUUGUGAUAAUUUAUUGACGGCAAAUGAAAUAUCUGGACGCGUGAGAGCCAAGUACUGUAAGGAGCCAAGGACUUGUCGAUAUUGAGUUGAAUCUGUAGCAGGACUUCCAUCACAUAAUUUAAGUGAUUCACUAGUAGAGAGAGGAGUUGUAACCUCUUUCGCAUCCUGCAUGUUUGUCUUUGAUAAUAAAUCUUGAAUAUACUUUCUUUGUGAUAGGAAGAGACCUGAAAAUGUAAAUGUUGCUUCCACUCCCAGAAAGUAGCUUAAAGUUCCUAGAUCUUUGAGGGAGAAGCGAUCGGCCAAGCGCUUUAGAAAUGCUUGAGUCUUCAAAGGAUCAUUUCCUGUGACAAUAAUAUCAUCCACAUAUACUAAAAGAUAUAUUAUGCUUCCAUUCUGCUGGCAAAUGAAUAACGAGGUAUCAGACUUGGAAUUGAUGAAGCCAAUUGAGGUCAAAAACGAGCCAAGCUCGUUAUACCAAGCCCUUGGAGCUUGACGAAGUCCAUAAAUAACUUUUUGAAGUUUGCAGACAUGCCUCAGAUAUUGAGGAUGAAUGAAACUAGGAGGUUGCUGCAUAAAGACAUCUUCAGUAAUUGACCCCUGUAAAAAGGCAUUGUUAACAUCCAAUUGUCGUAUGUGCCAGCCCUUUGAGAUGGCCAAACUCAAGAUAAGAUGGAUUGCUGUGGGUUUAACAAUGAGACUAAAUAUCUCUGUGAAGUCAACACCAGGUCAUUGAUGAAACCCUUUGGCGACUAGACGUGCUUUAUAUUUGGCAACGAAUUCGUUUGGGUUCCGCUUAAUUCGAAAGACCCAUUUACACCCGAUGAUAUUUUGUGUGUGAUGAAAGGGUACUAAGGUCCAUGUAGAGUUGUGGAGGAGAGCAUCAUAUUCGUCACACAUGGCUUUACGCCAAUGAGAAGAUUUUUGGGCUUGAGUGAUUGUAGUGGGUUCACUGGCCUCAGUGGAGGAACUUGUUAUAGCAUGUAACUCAAGGACCUGACGUGGUUUGAAAAUACCACUUUUGGAGCGUGUUGUCAUUGGAUGUCUAGGGGGAAUGGAAGUGGUAGAUUGUGUUGGUGGUAUAGCCGAGGGCGAGUCAUUGUCAUGGACCGGGCCAACCGUCGGCACAAUAAUAUCACUAGGUCUAGGAGAAGGUAAAGCCAGUGGUAAUAUUACCGAGGGUAUUACCUUAUUAAUAGGGGAAACUUAUGAGGAAGGAAGUGGAGAAAUAGAGGGAGUGAGAAGCUGUUGAACAGGAGUAAUAGUAGUAUGCGGAUCUUGAGGGUAAGGACUGGACUGUGUCAUUGGAGGUUUGUGUGAAGAGAUCGGAGGGAUAUUCCAGUGAUGUAUGUUUAUCAGAGUAGCUUGCAUGGUAGGAUUAUUUUGAAAAGGAAAGACAGACUCCUCAAAAAUAACAUGACGUGAUAUAAAGAUUUUUUUAGUUUGGGGUUCAUAACAUCGAAAAGCAUUAUGUUCAAGGGAGUAGCCUAUAAAAGUGCAAGGCUUAGAUCGUGGUGUUAGCUUAUGUGACGCAUAGGGACGGAGCCAUGGAUAACAUAAACAGCUAAAAACUUUGAGUUUAUGAAGGUUUGGAAGCUUGUGGAAUAAUUUUUCAAAUGGUGACUGGUAUUGUAAGACUGGAGUAAGCAUACGAUUAAUGAGAUAAACUACAGUUUGAAAGGCUACUGACCAAAAAGGUGGUGGCAUGGACGCUUGAUGUAGAAGGGAGAAACCAGUUUCAACAAUAUGCUGAUGUUUGUGUUUGGCAGAGCCAACCAAUUGGGGAGUAUGUGGAGGUGACUUGAGGUGUUGUAUACCACAAGCAGAGAGACAAGAUGUGAGGGCUUGAUAUUCGCCUCUGCCAUCAGAGUAAACCGUUUUAAUGGAAGAUUGAAAAAAAAUUUUGACCAACUUUCGAAAGUUGGUAAAUACUAUGGAAACAUCAGACUUGUGGUGGAGAGGAUAUAACCAUGUGUACUUAGUAAAAUAAUCUACAAAAAUGACAUAAAAAUGAAACUUGUCAAAAGAAGGAAUUGGGGCAGGGCCCCAUACGUCAGUAUAAAUGAUUUCAAAUGGUUUAGAGCAAGAAAUAGAGGUUGUCCCAAAAGGCAGUUUAUGACUUUUAUUGCAAAGACAAGCAUCGCAAUGACUGAUAGUGCCAUUGAUUUUCAAGGUAGGAAGAGAAUAACGAGAAAGUAAUUUUUGCUGGAUAAAAGGGGAGGGAUGACCAAGACGACGAUGCCAUACAUCAACCGGAGCUGCGACUGAAGAGUGAGUAGUAGGAAGGGUAAUUUACGAAGCGGAUGGCCACUCAUAAAUGUUAUCUUUGUUCUGGCCCUGAACCAAGGAUGCCCCCGUGCUCAAAUCCUUGACAAAAAAAAAGUUAGGAAAGAAUUCAAUUGAGGUAUUAUUUUGUUUACAGAAUUGAGAAACAGAAAUGAGGUUUCUUUUAAUAUUAGGUGCACACAGAACAUCAUCGAGUGUAAAAGUUGUGGUAAGUGAACUAAGCGUUGAGGAACCAGAAUGAGUAAUAGGAAUUCUUUUACCGUCACCGAUGAUGAUAUCUUCAUUUCCAUCAUAGUUGUUGUGGAUGGACAAGUUUUGAAGAUCAGAGGUGAUGUGAUGAGAGGCGCCCGAGUCCACAAUCCAAUUAGGUUGGGUAGGAGUUGGAGUAGCCAUGAAAUUCGCCUGAGGCCACUGUGAUGGAGCAGGGAGCCUGGGGCGAGAUCGACAAACUUUCGUAGAGUGUCCGACUUUAUCACAUAGUUGGCAAACGACUCGUUGGUGGCUUAUGAAGUCAGGACGUGACGACCGAGGAUUAUGAAAGUUACCACCUUGAUAUGGAUGAGGGGGGUUUGGUUUGGGCGCCAUAGGGCUGGGAGGCAGCUUAGCCAGACCGUUGUUGACGUGCUUAUUGUACUAGUUGCUCUUCCUCUUGGAUUUUUAAUUGACCUGAGCUGUAAUAGGUGGUCCGGGCAACAUAUCAUCAUGCUUCAAAUAUGUCUCAUAGUCGAUCAACUUAUCAUAAAGUUCUUCGAAUGAUAUUGGUGAGUCGCGUGCCCGAAGAGCUGCUGCCAGUUCUUUGUACUCGCCUACUAGGCCAUUGAGGGUAUGGAUUAGGACUUCUUCAUCACUGAGAGAAUGACCUAUCAAAGCCAAGUCAUCGAUGAUAACUUUGAUAGUUUGUAGAUAAUCAGCAAUAGUACUUCCCUCUUGUUUUGUUUUCAUCAGAUUGGAGAGAAGUCCGAGCAUACGAGUACGUGAGUGAUUUGCCAAAGUUGUUUGUAACUUGCACCAUGCUUCUACAGUAGUCAUACAUGAGGAUAUCAGCGGGGCAACGGAUCCAGCAACGGAAGCUUGAAUAGCUUGGAGGAUGAGGCGAUCUUGACGUAACCAUAGUUUGUGGGUUGGAUUUGGCACUAGACUGGGUUCGCCUGGGAUAUUGACCAUGUCAGGUGGACACGGGAGAGAGCCAUCAAUGUAACCCAGGAGAUCAUAACCAAAUAGAAGAUUAGAAAGUUGUGCCCGCCAAGAUGCGUAGUUACCGCCUUUGGAUAAUUUGAAGGGAAUGAGUGCUGUAGCAUUGAUGAAAAGAAUAGAAGAUAAGAACAAUUAUUGAAGAAGCUUUAUUAAAAUAACUUUAGCUUGAAUACAUUAACAUGGUGAUAAGACUUUGAGAAGUACUCAGAAUUCCUGCAGAAACAGGGAUAGGAAUUAAGACUUUGAGAAGUACUCAGAAUUCCUGCAGAAAUAGGGAUAGGAAUAUCGGAAGGGGAAAAUGAAGACAUCCCAGAUAUUUUGUAGCGGUUUAAGUGAUAAGAUGUAAAGAUAUAGGAGGGAGAGAGGAGGAGAAAAGUAGAUCAAUGCGCUGUAGAGGAGGCUGCAGCGAUGAAGCUGCAGUGAUGAACUGCAGAGGAGGCUAUAGCGCGAUGCAGAAUGCAGGAGAGAUUGUUGCAGCGAGGUGGGAGAAAUCUCUGCAGCUUGCAGCGAUUUCUGCAGCGAUGCUGGAGAAAUCUGCAAGGUUGGAGAUAGUUGCAGUAAUGCAGUGUUGGAGUUUGGUGGCCGGAAGGGCGGCGGAGUUGUCAGCGGAAGACUUCGGUUGGCAAGGGAGCAGCAACCGGCGGUAGAAACAAAGGCUGUGACUAUGCUUCCUUUAGGAGUGUUGCCCACGGAUCUGAUAUUAGCAGCCGCAAGUGCUGCAGUAGGCUACAGUGAAUGGCUACGGCUGAGGGGCGGAGACGUCGCCACGAGAGGGAUGGUAGAGCGGCUGCGGUUGCGACCCAAGGGGAGGCAGUGGACUCCGGUCGGGAAGCAAUUGUGAGGAGUCAAACAGCGAGAAGAGGGCUUGCUCUAGGCAAAUUGCUCUGAUACCAUGAUAAGAAUUAAACGAAGAAGAUAGAAAGAUAGAAAUUAUAAAAGAAACUAUAAAAUGUAUAAGAUGUAAUUGGCUAAUACAUUUGAUAGUGAGCUCUUGAUAGCUAUUUAUACACACUCAGCAGGGAGGUUAUACACAUUCAGCAGGGAGGAUUUUUCUCAACUACUUAGAGAUUUCCUCAACUGCCUUGAGGAAAUCUUAUCUACUUAUCA
RNAcentral lists this long non-coding RNA (5389 nucleotides) under Musa acuminata (dwarf banana). Its description in RNAcentral is "long non-coding RNA (MACU_LNC003822)". Lineage: Eukaryota; Viridiplantae; Streptophyta; Magnoliopsida; Zingiberales; Musaceae. The record is from RNAcentral.